AGAGUUUGAUCAUGGCUCAGGAUGAACGCUAGCGGCAGGCUUAAUACAUGCAAGUCGAACGGGAUUCAGGUAGCAAUACUUGAUGAGAGUGGCGCACGGGUGCGUAACACGUAUGCAACCUACCUUUAACUGGUGAAUAGCCCCGGGAAAUCGGGAUUAAUACACCAUAACAUUACAAGAGGGCAUCCUCUAAUAAUUAAAGAACUUCGGUUAAAGAUGGGCAUGCGGGACAUUAGCUAGUUGGUGAGGUAACGGCUCACCAAGGCAACGAUGUCUAGGGGUCCUGAGAGGGUUAUCCCCCACACUGGUACUGAGACACGGACCAGACUCCUACGGGAGGCAGCAGUAAGGAAUAUUGGUCAAUGGGCGCAAGCCUGAACCAGCCAUGCCGCGUGAAAAGGAAGACGGCGCUAUGCGUUGUAAACUUCUUUUGUCAGGGAAUAAAUGUAGGUACGUGUACUUACUUGAAGGUACCUGAAGAAUAAGCAUCGGCUAACUCCGUGCCAGCAGCCGC
RNAcentral lists this ribosomal RNA (514 nucleotides) under uncultured bacterium. RNAcentral describes it as "bacterial SSU rRNA". It matches the Rfam family "Bacterial small subunit ribosomal RNA", at positions 8 to 518 of the family's 1533-position model. The record is from RNAcentral.